ACGGAAGGCAGCAGUGGGGGAUAUUGCACAAUGGGGGAAACCCUGAUGCAGCGACGCCGCGUGAGUGAUGAAGUAUUUCGGUAUGUAAAGCUCUAUCAGCAGGGAAGAAAAUGACGGUACCUGACUAAGAAGCUCCGGCUAAAUACGUGCCAGCAGCCGCGGUAAUACGUAUGGAGCAAGCGUUAUCCGGAUUUACUGGGUGUAAAGGGAGCGCAGGCGGUUUUUUAAGUCUGAUGUGAAAGCCCGCGGCUCAACUGCGGGACUGCAUUGGAAACUGGAGAACUAGAGUGUCGGAGGGGCAAGUGGAAUUCCUAGUGUAGCGGUGAAAUGCGUAGAUAUUAGGAGGAACACCAGUGGCGAAGGCGGCUUGCUGGACGAUAACUGACGCUGAGGCUCGAAAGCGUGGGGAGCAAACAGGAUUAGAUACCCUGGUA
This 434-nucleotide ribosomal RNA is filed under the name uncultured Lachnospiraceae bacterium. RNAcentral's name for it is "partial 16S ribosomal RNA". It matches the Rfam family "Bacterial small subunit ribosomal RNA", at positions 341 to 792 of the family's 1533-position model. Lineage: Bacteria; Bacillati; Bacillota; Clostridia; Lachnospirales; Lachnospiraceae. The record is from RNAcentral.